RNAcentral lists this ribosomal RNA (253 nucleotides) under uncultured bacterium. RNAcentral describes it as "partial 16S ribosomal RNA". It matches the Rfam family "Bacterial small subunit ribosomal RNA", at positions 524 to 776 of the family's 1533-position model. The record is from RNAcentral.
UACGGAGGGAACUAGCGUUGUUCGGAUUUACUGGGCGUAAAGGGCGCGUAGGCGGUUUGUUAAGUUAGAAGUGAAAGCCUGGGGCUUAACCCCAGAACUGCUUCUAAAACUGGCAGACUAGAGUGUGGGAGAGGAUAAUGGAAUUCCUAGUGUAGAGGUGAAAUUCUUAGAUAUUAGGAGGAACACCGGUGGCGAAAGCGAUUAUCUGGAACACAACUGACGCUGAGGCGCGAAAGCGUGGGGAGCAAACAGG